CAGCACCUCAAGUGGUCAGGAUGAUUAUUGGGCCUAAAGCAUCCGUAGCCGGCGCUGUAAGUUUUCGGUUAAAUCUGUACGCUCAACGUACAGGCUGCCGGGAAUACUGCAGCGCUAGGGAGUGGGAGAGGUAGACGGUACUCGGUAGGAAGGGGUAAAAUCCUUUGAUCUAUUGAUGCCCACCUGUGGCGAAGGCGGUCUACCAGAACACGUCCGACGGUGAGGGAUGAAAGCUGGGGGAGCAAACCGGAUUAGAUACCCGAGUAGUCC
This 270-nucleotide ribosomal RNA is filed under the name uncultured archaeon. RNAcentral describes it as "partial 16S ribosomal RNA". It matches the Rfam family "Archaeal small subunit ribosomal RNA", at positions 477 to 747 of the family's 1478-position model. The record is from RNAcentral.